ACCGAGUGAGUAUAGGGAUAACGGCUUCCCCGUUAGAUAAGCAAAGUCGUUAGUAGCAGUCUCUAUACUCUAGAACUACGUAGCCAGCGUAGGAUAUGAGUAGUCACCUGUCAGAUUAGGCUUGACUAUCUCCCAGGGGUCACCCAUUAGUUCAGGCUUGACUCUCUUAGUCCUUCGGACAAUAAAUCAGUUUAGUUGAUCCACACAGCUAGAGUUAGUACCCGUGGCAUGGUAUUAACU
Molecule: long non-coding RNA, 240 nt
Filed under: Capsicum annuum
Lineage: Eukaryota; Viridiplantae; Streptophyta; Magnoliopsida; Solanales; Solanaceae
Description: long non-coding RNA (CANN_LNC001501)
Source: RNAcentral